CCUCGUGGUGGUUGUGAACCACCAUGUGG
This 29-nucleotide unclassified non-coding RNA is filed under the name Mus musculus (house mouse). RNAcentral describes it as "RNA (29-MER) from Mus musculus (PDB 5LSN, chain A)". The record is from RNAcentral. Lineage: Eukaryota; Metazoa; Chordata; Mammalia; Rodentia; Muridae.